CUGACACAUUUUUGUGUGCACAAGAACUUACCAGUGAUAAUCUUCAAGGUUUAACUUUGGAAAAUUGCCAUCUGGUUCACAAAAACAGACAGCCUGAGAUCACUGAUGUCUUUUCACAACCAGAAGUCCAAAGGCAUAUUGACUUGAUUCAAGACUUCAGUAGAAUAGAUUGGAAAGUGUUGAGUGAAUUGAGAAAGAUUUCAACAUAAAUGAAGAGGGAAAAAUUAGAUUUGUUUGAUUACAUCUGGAUACAAAUUGGAUUUAAAUUAGAUUUGUGCUGAAAAACACAGCUUGCACAGGUAACUGAUGUAUUUGCA
RNAcentral lists this long non-coding RNA (317 nucleotides) under Coturnix japonica (Japanese quail). Its description in RNAcentral is "lncRNA (ENSCJPG00005009219.1)". The record is from RNAcentral. Lineage: Eukaryota; Metazoa; Chordata; Aves; Galliformes; Phasianidae.